AGCGAACGCUGGCGGCAGGCUUAACACAUGCAAGUCGAACGCCCCGCAAGGGGAGUGGCAGACGGGUGAGGAACACGUGGGAACGUACACUUCGGUUCGGAAUAACUCAGGGAAACUUGUGCUAAUACCGGAUACGUCCGAAAGGAGAAAGAUUUAUCGCCGCAGGAUCGGCCCGCGGCUGAUUAGCUUGUUGGUGAGGUAACGGCUCACCAAGGCGACGAUCAGUAGCUUGUCUGAGAGGAGGAUCAGCCACACUGGGACUGAGACACGGCCCAGACUCCUACGGGAGGCAGCAGUGGGGAAUAUUGGACAAUGGGAGCAACCCUGAUCCAGCCAUGCCGCGUGAGUGAUGAAGGCCUUAGGGUUGUAAAGCUCUUUUGUCCGGGAAGAUAAUGACGGUACCGGAAGAAUAAGCCCCGGCUAACUUCGUGCCAGCCGCCGCAGUAA
RNAcentral lists this ribosomal RNA (447 nucleotides) under uncultured bacterium. RNAcentral describes it as "partial 16S ribosomal RNA". It matches the Rfam family "Bacterial small subunit ribosomal RNA", at positions 29 to 523 of the family's 1533-position model. The record is from RNAcentral.